GAUGAACGCUAGCGAUAGGCUUAACACAUGCAAGUCGAGGCGCAGCACAAGGUAGCUUGCUAUCUGGGUGGCGACCGGCGCACGGGUGCGUAACGCGUAUGCAACUUGCCCUAUACAGGAGGAUAACCCGUCGAAAGACGGACUAAUACUGCGUAUGCUCACAACUUGGCAUCAAGUGGUGAGGAAAGAAAUUCGGUAUAGGAUAGGCAUGCGUCCCAUUAGCUUGUUGGUGAGGUAACGGCUCACCAAGGCAACGAUGGGUAGGGGAACUGAGAGGUUUAUCCCCCACACUGGUACUGAGACACGGACCAGACUCCUACGGGAGGCAGCAGUGAGGAAUAUUGGUCAAUGGGCGCGAGCCUGAACCAGCCAAGUCGCGUGAAGGAUGACUGUCUUAUGGAUUGUAAACUUCUUUUAUACGGGAAUAACAAGAGUCACGUGUGACUCCCUGCAUGUACCGUAUGAAUAAGCAUCGGCUAACUCCGUG
This 487-nucleotide ribosomal RNA is filed under the name uncultured bacterium. Its description in RNAcentral is "partial 16S ribosomal RNA". It matches the Rfam family "Bacterial small subunit ribosomal RNA", at positions 28 to 507 of the family's 1533-position model. The record is from RNAcentral.